GGGUCAUAAAGCAGUUCCAUUUUUAAUUAUUUGAGGAAACUCUAUACUGUUUUCCACAGUGGCUGUACUGAUCUGCAUUCUACCAACAGUGCAUAUUGGUUCCCUUUUCUCCA
Long non-coding RNA from Myotis brandtii (Brandt's bat), 113 nucleotides. RefSeq lists it as uncharacterized. NCBI's taxonomy places the organism in Eukaryota, Metazoa, Chordata, Mammalia, Chiroptera, Vespertilionidae. The transcript has 3 exons. The record is from RefSeq and is a predicted model, not a curated record.